UAGACAUAUCAGUGAUGCAGUUAACACAUUAAACAUUCAGCCUGGGGAGUACGGUCGCAAGAUUAAAACUCAAAGGAAUAGACGGGGACCCGCACAAGUGGUGGAGCAUGUGGUUUAAUUCGAAGAUACGCGAAGAACCUUCCCUAGCCUUGACAUCUUAUAGAAUUCAGUAGAGAUACAGAAGUGCCUUCGGGAGCUAUAUUACAGGUGAUGCACGCCCGUCGUCAGCUCGAGUCGUGAGAUGUUGGGGUAAGUCCCGCAACGAGCGCAACCCUCGUCUCUAGAUACUACCGGCUAGUCCGAGGACUCUAGUGAGACUUCCUUCGUAAGGAGGAGGAAGGUGAGGACGACGUCAAGUCAUCAUGGCCCCUACGGCUAGGACAACACACGUGCUACAAUGGUUAGGACAAUGAGAAGCAAUAUCGCGAGGCGGAGCAAAUCUAUAAUCCUAAUCUCAGUUCGGAUUGUAGUCUGCAACUGGGCUACAUGAAUCUGGAAUCACUAGUAAUCGUAGAAAAGGUAUCCUACGGUGAAUACGU
Molecule: ribosomal RNA, 539 nt
Filed under: uncultured bacterium
Lineage: Bacteria
Description: bacterial SSU rRNA
Rfam family: Bacterial small subunit ribosomal RNA
Source: RNAcentral